AAGUCGUUUACACAUUAAAAAUUAUAUGAUUUAAAAAUUUUUGACCGAUACAUCAAGUGAUAAAAAAAUAAAUAUAUUUUUAUUUUAUUUAAAAUAUCUAAUUUUUUGAUCAUUUAAUGUGUAAACUACAGAUCUUCAAAUUAUAUAAUUUUUAUUAUAUUAAUAAUUUAAAUGUUGUAAAUCAUAUCGAAUAUUUCAGACC
This 202-nucleotide long non-coding RNA is filed under the name Elaeis guineensis (African oil palm). RNAcentral describes it as "long non-coding RNA (EGUI_LNC022507)". The record is from RNAcentral. Lineage: Eukaryota; Viridiplantae; Streptophyta; Magnoliopsida; Arecales; Arecaceae.